Molecule: long non-coding RNA, 279 nt
Organism: Carassius auratus (goldfish)
Lineage: Eukaryota; Metazoa; Chordata; Actinopteri; Cypriniformes; Cyprinidae
Exons: 3
Source: RefSeq, a predicted model, not a curated record
AGUGACAUCACCAUAUAGUUUGCCUGUCAGCAUGUGCAGCUCAACACUUGGAGUGAUUGCCAUUUCAUCCAAGGACAGCACACACUCCCUUUCAAGGGUUCUGAUCGCUGGCAAGGGAAUCUGCAAUUCCUGUAGGGUCUUGUAACCAGUUGGACCGGAUGCAAAGCGAAUUUUUAAUGCCUUCUUAAUUGUUUCAUUGCUCCAUUUCAUACCUUUUGUGACCCAGGUAACUGGCUGAUGGCUCACUGGAAUGCUGACUGGCUGCUGACUGACUUGCUG